GAAAUGCGAUAAGUAAUGUGAAUUGCAGAAUUCAGUGAAUCAUCGAAUCUUUGAACGCACAUUGCACCCGCCAGUAUUCUGGCGGGCAUGCCUGUUCGAGCGUCAUUUCAACCAUCAAGCCCCGGGCUUGUGUUGGGGACCUGCGGCUGCCGCAGGCCCUGAAAACCAGUGGCGGGCUCGCUGUCACACCGAGCGUAGUAGAUUCUCAUCUCGCUCAGGGCGUGCUGCGGGUUCCGGCCGUAAAACAGCCUUAUUUUACCCAAGGUUGACCUCGGAUCAGGUAGGAAGACCCGCUGAACUUAAGC
RNAcentral lists this unclassified non-coding RNA (305 nucleotides) under plant metagenome. Its description in RNAcentral is "partial contains 5.8S ribosomal RNA, internal transcribed spacer 2, and large subunit ribosomal RNA". The stretch from base 1 to 105 matches the Rfam family "5.8S ribosomal RNA", at positions 50 to 154 of the family's 154-position model. The record is from RNAcentral.